RNAcentral lists this ribosomal RNA (878 nucleotides) under bacterium. RNAcentral describes it as "bacterial SSU rRNA". It matches the Rfam family "Bacterial small subunit ribosomal RNA", at positions 1 to 886 of the family's 1533-position model. The record is from RNAcentral.
UUUUUUUUUUAGCUUUAGAGUGGUUCUGAUGUAGAUUAACGCAGGCGUCAGACAUAAAAGGUUGAGUCGAGCGAGGUAGCAGACGCAGCGGCGAACGGGUGAGUAUUGAGUAGGAAGUUCGCAGAUAGAGGCGGAUACCAGUUAACACGAGGAAUCAUGCCUUAUCAUCCUCUAGGGACCAAGGGGUGGUACGUUUAUCCACAUGAUGUCGUGUGCGCGAUAUGUGCGUUCGCUGUAAUUAGUGGGUUAAUGGCUCACCGAUCCACCAUGCCGUAGAUGCUUAGAGAGUAUGAUAUCCCACUCUGGAACGAGAGACACGGUCAGACUUCCUAGGGUAGGCAGCAGGCGGCAUUUAUUGGACAAUGGGCGCAAGCCUGAUCCAGCCAUGCCGCGUGUGUGAAGAAGGCCUUCGGGUUGUAAAGCACUUUCAGUGGGGAGGAAGGGUGUUGUUUUAAUAGAGCGGCAUUUUGACGUUACCCACAGAAGAAGCACCGGCUAACUCCGUGCCAGCAGCCGCGGUAAUACGGAGGGCAAGGGUUUUUUGGAAUUUUUGGGGGUAAAGGGGCGUCUGGGGGCUUUUUAAAUUGGAUGGAAAACCCCAGGGUCAACCUGAGAAUGCCUUUGAUACAUACUGGGAAGCUAGAGUAUGUGAGAGGGGGGUAGAAUUCCAAGUGUAGCGGUGAAAUGCGUAGAGAUUUGGAGGAAUACCAGUGGCGAAGGCGGCCCCCUGGCACAAUACUGACGCUCAGGUGCGAAAGCGUGGGGAGCAAACAGGAUUAGAUACCCUGGUAGUCCACGCCGUAAACGAUGUCUACUAGCUGUUCGCGGUGGGUCAGUAGCGCAGCUAACGCAUAAGUAGACCGCUGGAGACUCAUUGU